RNAcentral lists this ribosomal RNA (370 nucleotides) under uncultured organism. RNAcentral describes it as "bacterial SSU rRNA". It matches the Rfam family "Bacterial small subunit ribosomal RNA", at positions 526 to 896 of the family's 1533-position model. The record is from RNAcentral.
CGUAGGCAGCGAGCGUUGUUCGGAGUUACUGGGCGUAAAGCGUGCGUAGGCGGUCUUCUAAGUUUGGUGUGAAAUCUCCCGGCUCAACCGGGAGGGUGCGCCGAAAACUGGGAGGCUGGAGUAUGGGAGAGGUAGGCGGAAUUCCUGGUGUAGCGGUGAAAUGCGUAGAUAUCAGGAGGAACACCAGCGGUGUAGACGGCUUACUGGACCAUAACUGACGCUGAGGCACGAAAGCGUGGGGAGCAAACAGGAUUAGAUACCCUGGUAGUCCACGCCCUAAACGAUGCAUACUUGGUGUGGGUAAUUCAUUUUAUCCGUGCCGGAGCUAACGCGUUAAGUAUGCCGCCUGGGGAGUACGGUCGCAAGGCUG